GACAUUGAUCUAUCAUAAUCCACAACACGUGAACCAUUGACUGUUGGCCUCUCAACGCAAGUUGAGGCAGAGCCGUUUGCCCUAACAGGCAGGCGGCACUGGGCCUGGCUUCGGCUGGGCUGGUCUUACUAACCAACCAACACCAAACCAUAACUUCUAAAGCGAGUAGGUUGUCUGGCUUAGAGCCAGCAAUCAUUAACCAAGACAACUCUCAACAACGGAUAUCUUGGCUCUCGCAACGAUGAAGAACGCAGCGAAAUGCGAUACGUAGUGUGAAUUGCAGAAAUACGUGAACCAUCGAAUCUUUGAACGCAUAUUGCGCUCGAGGCUUCGGCCAAGAGCAUGUCUGCCUCAGCGUCGCUUUAAACCCUCACCCCCUAAUCCCUAGGAUUAGUGGAACGGUGGAACUGGCUCUCCCAGCAUUCAGUUGCUGGGUUUGCUGAAGAGCAGAGGUUGAUGCAUGGACCCGCUAAUGGGCCUCAGCUGGGUAGGCAAUUCGUUGCUAAUGCUUUAGCUGUUGGCUUGGGACUGUGCUGUCGACCCAAACCAGGAAAGCCGCUUGCGGCUCCUUCUGCUUUCGACCUGAGCUCAGGCAAGAACACCCGCUGAACUUAAGCAUAUCAAUAAGCGGAGGAAAAGAAAUAAACCAGGA
RNAcentral lists this ribosomal RNA (652 nucleotides) under Chlamydomonas sp. KU107. Its description in RNAcentral is "eukaryotic LSU rRNA". The stretch from base 207 to 360 matches the Rfam family "5.8S ribosomal RNA". The record is from RNAcentral. Lineage: Eukaryota; Viridiplantae; Chlorophyta; Chlorophyceae; Chlamydomonadales; Chlamydomonadaceae.